RNAcentral lists this transfer-messenger RNA (141 nucleotides) under Methyloversatilis discipulorum. RNAcentral's name for it is "partial transfer-messenger RNA". It matches the Rfam family "transfer-messenger RNA", at positions 1 to 148 of the family's 374-position model. From Rfam's summary of the family: Bacterial tmRNA, also known as 10Sa RNA or SsrA, is named for its dual tRNA and mRNA-like properties. RNAcentral also lists the same sequence under 1 other name. The record is from RNAcentral. Lineage: Bacteria; Pseudomonadati; Pseudomonadota; Betaproteobacteria; Nitrosomonadales; Sterolibacteriaceae.
GGGGGCGACCUGGUCUCGACGUGGGUCGCGAAGCAGCGCAGGGCAUACCGAGGGUCGGAGUACCUCGUAAAUCCAACCGAAAAUUAGAUAGUCGCCAACGACGAAUCUUACGCUCUGGCCGCUUAAGGCCGGACGCUGCAC